Long non-coding RNA from Alligator sinensis (Chinese alligator), 250 nucleotides. RefSeq lists it as uncharacterized. The record is from RefSeq and is a predicted model, not a curated record. The transcript is spliced from 2 exons. NCBI's taxonomy places the organism in Eukaryota, Metazoa, Chordata, Crocodylia, Alligatoridae.
CCCCGUCUGCCCAGCCCUGCCAAGCUUCCCCCGGUGGGUCCCGAUGGAUGGCAUUGUGUGCGGAUAAGGGAUGCCAAGCUUCCCCCGCCGGACCCCGAGUUACGUGGGGGAUACGUUCCUGAAACACACCGUGUAAGUUGAAACCGUGUAACUGGAGGCAUCGUGUCAAUGGAAAACUGGGGGAUAGGGACCUGGAACCAAGAUUUGAUAACUUUGUUUUAUAAUAAAAGGAUAUUUAAACACAAAAUAA